This 594-nucleotide ribosomal RNA is filed under the name Fuscoporia gilva. Its description in RNAcentral is "partial small subunit ribosomal RNA". It matches the Rfam family "Bacterial small subunit ribosomal RNA", at positions 420 to 913 of the family's 1533-position model. Lineage: Eukaryota; Fungi; Basidiomycota; Agaricomycetes; Hymenochaetales; Hymenochaetaceae. The record is from RNAcentral.
AAAUCCUUAAUGUGUCAUUGAGGAUAAGGUAAGGGAAAAUAAUGAUAAUACCUUACUAUAAGUGUCGUCUAAAACUCGUGCCAGAAGACUCGGUAAGGCGAGAGACGCAAACGUUAAUCAUCUUGAUCAGGCGUAAAGGGUGUGUAGGCUGUUACGUUACUAAGGCUUUAAUUAAAUGUGUGAAAGCCCCUGCUACGCAGUAUAUAAAAUGCUUGCACAGCAUAAUUUAUUACGCUGUACAGCAGAGUCCCGUAUCCCGUAAGCCGUAAAGGCAGGGAGGGGCAGGGCUUUGUUUUUUUAUUUUUCCCUUUUUAACAGUAACUAGAAUCUAAAGGAGGUUAAAACAAUAUCCUUCACAGAAGUGUUCGAACUUAAGAAGAUGGGUAGAGUGUUAAAGGCGAAGGCUUUUUUCCAAUACAGAUUGACGCUGAGAAACGAAGGGGAGGACAGAAAAAAGGAUUAGAGACCCUUGUAUUCCUCUCUGUCAACGAUGAAUGGUAGUCAUGAGAUAGAAAUCAUCUUGAGGCGAUGUUAACACGUAAAACCAUUCCGCCUUGUGAGUACGACUGCAAAGUUGAAAACAAAAAAAUUAGU